This 256-nucleotide ribosomal RNA is filed under the name uncultured bacterium. RNAcentral's name for it is "partial 16S ribosomal RNA". It matches the Rfam family "Bacterial small subunit ribosomal RNA", at positions 524 to 781 of the family's 1533-position model. The record is from RNAcentral.
UACGGAGGGUGCAAGCGUUAUCCGGAUUUACUGGGUUUAAAGGGUGCGUAGGUGGGCCUGUAAGUCAGUGGUGAAAUCUUCAAGCUUAACUUGGAACUGCCAUUGAUACUAUAGGUCUUGAAUUAUCUGGAGGUAAGCGAAUAUGUCAUGUAGCGGUGAAAUGCUUAGAGAUGACAUAGAACACCCAUUGCGAAGCAGCUUACUACGGAUUGAUUGACACUGAGGCACGAAAGCGUGGGGAUCAAACAGGAAUUAG